AGCGAACGCUGGCGGCGUGCCUAACACAUGCAAGUCGAACGUGAACGGGGGCAACCCCUAGUAAAGUGGCGUACGGGUGAAUAACGCGUAGGCAAUCUACCCCAAAGUCUGGAAUAACCGGCCGAAAGGCUGGCUAAUACUGGAUAGAGCGACGGAAUCCGUAAUUGGGUUUUUUCGGGAAAGGGAGGGAGCAAUCUCCCUCGCUUUGGGAUGGGCCUGCGUCCCAUCAGCUAGUUGGUAAGGUAAUGGCUUACCAAGGCGAUGACGGGU
This 270-nucleotide ribosomal RNA is filed under the name uncultured bacterium. RNAcentral's name for it is "partial 16S ribosomal RNA". It matches the Rfam family "Bacterial small subunit ribosomal RNA", at positions 29 to 284 of the family's 1533-position model. The record is from RNAcentral.